CAUAUGCUGCGACCGCAGAGCAGAGCAGAGCCGCGGAGACGUCGUUGUUUUGGUUUGUUAGCACUGAGAGAAGGUUAAUUACUGAAGAAGUCUGGAGGCUAAACCGAGCUUUAGAGCUGUUUUGUCGAACACAGGUGUCACCACUUCAUCCAUGACUCCAGAGACCAGAUCAGACCAGAUGAGACCAGGACAGAGAGUCUUCCAGGUGAACUCACAGAAACAGCUGGAUCCAGUGGAGCUGAAGGAGGAGGAGGUGACGGCAGCAGCUGAAGGUCUGGACCUGAAGAGGAUGAAAGAAAAACAGAGUUAUUGAGCUGAUAAUCACAGACUGAUGCAAGUAAAGCUGUUUGGUUUUAUUCACUCAGUUUCUAACAGUGUGAUGUAGUUGUCCUCAUGUGCUCACUUAGUACAUUAGCUUGGUUUGUAGAGAUAUAAAGACUGUGACCGGAAAUGUUUAACGUCUUUACACUGUCAUGAUUUUCCUCUGAAAGAAGAGCAGCUUUUACCUCUAGAUGAUUCUUCAACUGAAGUUUGUAACUCAGACACUGGUUGGUUUGUGGUAUUCUUUGAGUAUUUUACUUUUUUAGUCUUUGACAGUUUGAACUUCAAUACCCAGAAACCCUCUGUGCUUUUGGUUCUGUGAUUUGAAAGUUGCUGAUGUUUGUUGUUUCUGAAUUUUCUCUUCAGGACUCAGAGUUGAACAUCAGCUGAUGGAGAGAAGAGACAUGAAAACAUUUCCAGAAGGUCAGUGUUUAUUGUUUUCAGUCUGACUCUGUCAUUAUCUCAGCUGCAAUAACAUAAUCCACUUUAAUAAUAAUUAUCAGUAUUUUUUCACUAUGUCACUGCAAAAAGAAUUGGUAUGAAACUCUUAAAUGUGUGUCUCCUGUGUAGAGUCAGACUGAAAACAAUAAACACUGACCUUCUGGAAAUGUUUUCAUGUC
Long non-coding RNA from Lates calcarifer (barramundi perch), 941 nucleotides. RefSeq lists it as uncharacterized. The transcript is spliced from 4 exons. NCBI's taxonomy places the organism in Eukaryota, Metazoa, Chordata, Actinopteri, Centropomidae. The record is from RefSeq and is a predicted model, not a curated record.